Molecule: ribosomal RNA, 440 nt
Filed under: uncultured bacterium
Lineage: Bacteria
Description: partial 16S ribosomal RNA
Rfam family: Bacterial small subunit ribosomal RNA
Source: RNAcentral
CCUACGGGAGGCAGCAGUAGGGAAUAUUGCUCAAUGGGGGAAACCCUGAAGCAGCAACGCCGCGUGGAGGAUGAAGGUUUUCGGAUUGUAAACUCCUUUUGUUAGAGAAGAUAAUGACGGUAUCUAAUGAAUAAGCACCGGCUAACUCCGUGCCAGCAGCCGCGGUAAUACGGAGGGUGCAAGCGUUACUCGGAAUCACUGGGCGUAAAGGGCGCGUAGGCGGGAUAGCAAGUCAGAAGUGAAAUCCUAGGGCUUAACCAUAGAACUGCAUUUGAAACUGUUAUUCUAGAGUAUGGGAGAGGUAGGUGGAAUUCUUGGUGUAGCGGUGAAAUGCGUAGAGAUCAAGAGGAAUACUCAUUGCGAAGGCGGCCUACUGGACCAUAACUGACGCUGAGGCGCGAAAGCGUGGGGAGCAAACAGGAUUAGAUACCCGAGUAGUC